This is a long non-coding RNA of Gekko japonicus, 545 nucleotides long. RefSeq lists it as uncharacterized. NCBI's taxonomy places the organism in Eukaryota, Metazoa, Chordata, Lepidosauria, Squamata, Gekkonidae. The transcript has 5 exons. The record is from RefSeq and is a predicted model, not a curated record.
AAACGGACGUCCGCUGUCAGCUUAAACACAGGUCUGUUUCAUGCACCAUAAAAACACUGCAGUCAGAGGAGGUGUUGGAGUUGGAUACCACCAUGUGACCAUAUGAACAUUAUUGCUUACUGGGCCAAUAUACUGUAUGUAAAUAGGAGUCACUGUUUGCUUACGUUACAUCUGGCAAAACUGCAUGAGCAAUGUGGAAAGAGCAGACUGCACCAAAGAUCUGAGUUGGCCUUGCAAUCCAUAAAAAUUUACUAGUUGAUGAAAACCUUUUCAUACUUGCAUCGCUACGUGGACUUGUUAACAGUGUGGCAGCAACUCAGUGGCAGCCCACUUGUUGCAAACUUCAGCUGGUGAGCAGCAGCAAGCCAGCAGAGGGAAGCCGGAUACCUGAUUCUAGAACCGAUGUGACAUUUAAGCAGAUGAAGCAGUAAACAGCAGGGGGAAAAUUCAAGCUGUUACAGACAUAGUACAAAUUAGGAGCCAAGGAAGCCGAAAAGUGGGGGAAGUACUCACUAUGCUAACUAAAGUAGCCUUUUGGAUAUGAA